This 252-nucleotide ribosomal RNA is filed under the name uncultured bacterium. Its description in RNAcentral is "partial 16S ribosomal RNA". It matches the Rfam family "Bacterial small subunit ribosomal RNA", at positions 524 to 775 of the family's 1533-position model. The record is from RNAcentral.
UACGUAGGGUGCUAGCGUUGUUCGGAAUCAUUGGGCGUAAAGCGCGUGUAGGCUGUUGAUUAAGUCGGGUGUGAAAUCCCUGGGCUCAACCGAGGAAGUGCAUCCGAAACUAAUUAGCUAGAAGAUGGUAGAGGAAGGUGGAAUUCCAAGUGUAGAGGUGAAAUUCGUAGAUAUUUGGAGGAAUACCGGUGGCGAAGGCGGCCUUCUGGGCCAUUCUUGACGCUGAGACGCGAAAGCGUGGGUAGCAAACAG